GGGGAAUAUUGCGCAAUGGGCGAAAGCCUGACGCAGCAACGCCGCGUGGAGGAUGAAGGCCUUCGGGUCGUAAACUUCUGUCAGGAGGGAAGAAGGUUGCCGGGCCAAUACCCCGGUUAACUUGACGGUACCUCCACAGGAAGCCCCGGCUAACUCCGUGCCAGCAGCCGCGGUAAGACGGAGGGUCCUAGCGUUGUUCGGAAUUACUGGGCGUAAAGGGCGCGUAGGCGGCCUGUUAAGUCGGGUGUGAAAGCCCGGGGCUCAACCCCGGAACGGCAUCCGAGACUGGCGGGCUCGAGACCGGGAGAGGAGGGUGGAAUACCCAGUGUAGAGGUGAAAUUCGUAGAUAUUGGGUGGAACACCGGUGGCGAAAGCGGCUCUCUGGCCCGGUUCUGACGCUGAGGCGCGAAAGCGUGGGGAGCAA
This 424-nucleotide ribosomal RNA is filed under the name uncultured bacterium. RNAcentral's name for it is "bacterial SSU rRNA". It matches the Rfam family "Bacterial small subunit ribosomal RNA", at positions 356 to 771 of the family's 1533-position model. The record is from RNAcentral.